RNAcentral lists this small nucleolar RNA (65 nucleotides) under Leishmania donovani. The record is from RNAcentral. Lineage: Eukaryota; Euglenozoa; Kinetoplastea; Trypanosomatida; Trypanosomatidae. RNAcentral also lists the same sequence under 1 other name.
GGGUGCACAGAAGGAACCACAAAAGGCGUGUAGCGCCAUUCUCGCUCUCUGCUUUGGUGCAGCCC